AACGAACGCUGGCGGCAGGCCUAACACAUGCAAGUCGAGCGCCCCGCAAGGGGAGCGGCGGACGGGUGAGUAACGCGUGGGAACGUGCCCUCUUCUACGGAAUAGCCUCGGGAAACUGGGAGUAAUACCGUAUACGCCCUUAGGGGGAAAGAUUUAUCGGAGGAGGAUCGGCCCGCGUUGGAUUAGGUAGUUGGUGGGGUAAUGGCCUACCAAGCCGACGAUCCAUAGCUGGUUUGAGAGGAUGAUCAGCCACACUGGGACUGAGACACGGCCCAGACUCCUACGGGAGGCAGCAGUGGGGAAUCUUAGACAAUGGGCGCAAGCCUGAUCUAGCCAUGCCGCGUGAGCGAUGAAGGCCUUAGGGUUGUAAAGCUCUUUCAGGGGGGAAGAUAAUGACUGUACCCCCAGAAAGAGCCCCGGCUAACUCCGUG
RNAcentral lists this ribosomal RNA (431 nucleotides) under uncultured bacterium. RNAcentral describes it as "bacterial SSU rRNA". It matches the Rfam family "Bacterial small subunit ribosomal RNA", at positions 29 to 507 of the family's 1533-position model. The record is from RNAcentral.